AGCCCCCAGGAGAGAUCGUCGGCGCAGUCGACUAUCCGCCAGAACUCCUUCGAGACGACGCCGUUGUCGAGAACUGUGAAGUAAAAGGUGCCGGGAACCUCUCCUCUGCGAGCACGGUAGUGUCUUCUUCUCCACACCAGUUCUCCCUCUAACGUCUCCACUUGGAACACAGGAUCGUACCACAUCGAGUUCUUGGUCCCGCGGUAGUAGAGCUGGAUCUGGUUUGCGAAGUGAUCGUAGGCAGCGUUCUGGCCAGCGGCCACCCUCCAGCUCCACUUGAGUGUCCCCAGCCAGCC
This 296-nucleotide long non-coding RNA is filed under the name Selaginella moellendorffii. RNAcentral's name for it is "long non-coding RNA (SMOE_LNC000442)". The record is from RNAcentral. Lineage: Eukaryota; Viridiplantae; Streptophyta; Lycopodiopsida; Selaginellales; Selaginellaceae.